GAUGAACGCUGGCGGCGUGCCUAAUACAUGCAAGUCGAGCGAAUGGAUUGAGAGCUUGCUCUUAUGAAGUUAGCGGCGGACGGGUGAGUAACACGUGAGUAACCUGCCCAUAAGACUGGGAUAACUCCGCGAAACCGGGGCUAAUACCGGAUAACAUUUUGAACCGCACGGUUCGAAAUUGAAAGGCGGCUUCGGCUGUCACUUAUGGAUGGACCCGCGUCGCAUUAGCUAGGUGGUGAGGUAACGGCUCACCAAGGCAACGAUGCGUAGCCGACCUGAGAGGGUGAUCGGCCACACUGGGACUGAGACACGGCCCAGACUCCUACGGGAGGCAGCAGUAGGGAAUCUUCCGCAAUGGACGAAAGUCUGACGGAGCAACGCCGCGUGAGUGAUGAAGGCUUUCGGGUCGUAAAACUCUGUUGUUAGGGAAGAACAAGUGCUAGUUGAAUAAGCUGGCACCUUGACGGUACCUAACCAGAAAGCCACGGCUAACUACGUGCCAGCCGCCGCGGUAA
Molecule: ribosomal RNA, 515 nt
Filed under: uncultured bacterium
Lineage: Bacteria
Description: partial 16S ribosomal RNA
Rfam family: Bacterial small subunit ribosomal RNA
Source: RNAcentral